GCCCUUCUCCCACUAUCUUCCUCUCUCUCUCUCACACACUCUCUCUCUCUCUCUCUCUCUCUCUCUUUCUCUCUCUCUUCCUGCAUCGAUUUCUUUCCCUCCCUUCGCGUUUUAUAGGGAGGGGAAAAAGGAGUCCUGCACGACCCUUCUUCCUUGACGUGCAGGUUUCCUCUUCUUUCUUUUCGACUAGUGGCAUAGGCACACACACCUCUGCUUCUUCACCUUUCCUAACCAAAGGUAAACACGCCUCUAUUUUUCUUUGCCUAAAAUGGCACCAUUUUGGAGUCUCCCAAAACAACAUCGUUUUAUCUCUUACAUAGACGAUUGUUGUCCGGCCACUCACACAACCCAUCACAACAUUUAGUUUUGUGGAUGGUUUGUCCAAGUCAAUAAAUAAGUAGUAGUAUAUUCAAUAUCCUAGUGUCACACCCAUUCCGACCACAAGUUGGAGAUCCACUUAUGCAACACAUUUAAUAACCUACAGCAGGUUAAUGCAUUACAUAGUAAAGAAAAUUAGCAGAUAAUGUGACAAGGAAAUGAUGUGAAAUCUAACCCAUAUUUGGCUAGUCACACACACAUAACUAUUAACACAACAUGUAGCUUACAAAUGUAAUACACAAUUGUUAAUAAUAAAACAUAUGAGGUACACCAUUUUCACACACUUUUUGGCCACCAGCCGGCCACACACCCACAGAAAGUUGAUCCACACACCAGAAACAACAACCAAUGUUUCCUUAGGAAGGUUUUCGAUUUAACACC
Molecule: long non-coding RNA, 759 nt
Filed under: Carica papaya (papaya)
Lineage: Eukaryota; Viridiplantae; Streptophyta; Magnoliopsida; Brassicales; Caricaceae
Description: long non-coding RNA (CPAP_LNC014373)
Source: RNAcentral